Molecule: transfer RNA, 73 nt
Filed under: Phaeodactylibacter luteus
Lineage: Bacteria; Pseudomonadati; Bacteroidota; Saprospiria; Saprospirales; Haliscomenobacteraceae
Also listed under: 5 other names
Rfam family: tRNA
About the family: Transfer RNA (tRNA) molecules are approximately 80 nucleotides in length. Their secondary structure includes four short double-helical elements and three loops (D, anti-codon, and T loops).
Source: Rfam by way of RNAcentral
GCGGAUGUAGCUCAGUUGGUAGAGCGCAACCUUGCCAAGGUUGAGGUCGCGGGUUCGAGUCUCGUCAUCCGCU